This 464-nucleotide ribosomal RNA is filed under the name Vreelandella stevensii. RNAcentral's name for it is "partial 16S ribosomal RNA". It matches the Rfam family "Bacterial small subunit ribosomal RNA", at positions 338 to 795 of the family's 1533-position model. The record is from RNAcentral. Lineage: Bacteria; Pseudomonadati; Pseudomonadota; Gammaproteobacteria; Oceanospirillales; Halomonadaceae.
CCUACGGGUGGCAGCAGUGGGGAAUAUUGGACAAUGGGCGAAAGCCUGAUCCAGCCAUGCCGCGUGUGUGAAGAAGGCCUUCGGGUUGUAAAGCACUUUCAGUGGGGAAGAAAGCCUUGGGGCUAAUACCCUCGAGGAAGGACAUCACCCACAGAAGAAGCACCGGCUAACUCCGUGCCAGCAGCCGCGGUAAUACGGAGGGUGCGAGCGUUAAUCGGAAUUACUGGGCGUAAAGCGCGCGUAGGCGGUCUGAUAAGCCGGUUGUGAAAGCCCCGGGCUCAACCUGGGAACGGCAUCCGGAACUGUCAGGAUAGGGGGCAGGAGAGGAAGGUAGAAUUCCCGGUGUAGGGGUGAAAUGCGUAGAGAUCGGGAGGAAUACCAGUGGCGAAGGCGGCCUUCUGGACUGACACUGACGCUGAGGUGCGAAAGCGUGGGUAGCAAACAGGAUUAGAUACCCGGUAGUC